AGUGUGUGUGUGUGUGUGUGUGUGUGUGUGUGUCUGAUUAUCUCUAAUUGCUUCCAAUACAGCAGCACUUU
Molecule: non-coding RNA, 71 nt
Organism: Pangasianodon gigas (Mekong giant catfish)
Lineage: Eukaryota; Metazoa; Chordata; Actinopteri; Siluriformes; Pangasiidae
Source: the annotation of a GenBank genome assembly